GGACGAACGCUGGUGGCGUGCUUAACACAUGCAAGUCGAACGGAAAGGCCCUUCGGGGUACUCGAGUGGCGAACGGGUGAGUAACACGUGGGUGAUCUGCCCUGCACUUUGGGAUAAGCCUGGGAAACUGGGUCUAAUACCGAAUAGGACCACGCGCUUCAUGGUGUGUGGUGGAAAGCUUUUGCGGUGUGGGAUGGGCCCGCGGCCUAUCAGCUUGUUGGUGGGGUAAUGGCCUACCAAGGCGACGACGGGUAGCCGGCCUGAGAGGGUGACCGGCCACACUGGGACUGAGAUACGGCCCAGACUCCUACGGGAGGCAGCAGUGGGGAAUAUUGCACAAUGGGCGCAAGCCUGAUGCAGCGACGCCGCGUGAGGGAUGACGGCCUUCGGGUUGUAAACCUCUUUCAAUAGGGACGAAGCGCAAGUGACGGUACCUAUAGAAGAAGCACCGGCCAACUACGUGCCAGCAGCCGCGGUAAUACGUAGGGUGCGAGCGUUGUCCGGAAUUACUGGGCGUAAAGAGCUCGUAGGUGGUUUGUCGCGUUGUUCGUGAAAACUCACAGCUUAACUGUGGGCGUGCGGGCGAUACGGGCAGACUAGAGUACUGCAGGGGAGACUGGAAUUCCUGGUGUAGCGGUGGAAUGCGCAGAUAUCAGGAGGAACACCGGUGGCGAAGGCGGGUCUCUGGGCAGUAACUGACGCUGAGGAGCGAAAGCGUGGGGAGCGAACAGGAUUAGAUACCCUGGUAGUCCACGCCGU
This 759-nucleotide ribosomal RNA is filed under the name Mycolicibacterium llatzerense. RNAcentral describes it as "bacterial SSU rRNA". It matches the Rfam family "Bacterial small subunit ribosomal RNA", at positions 27 to 803 of the family's 1533-position model. The record is from RNAcentral. Lineage: Bacteria; Bacillati; Actinomycetota; Actinomycetes; Mycobacteriales; Mycobacteriaceae.